This 261-nucleotide ribosomal RNA is filed under the name uncultured prokaryote. Its description in RNAcentral is "partial 16S ribosomal RNA". It matches the Rfam family "Bacterial small subunit ribosomal RNA", at positions 524 to 784 of the family's 1533-position model. The record is from RNAcentral.
UACGUAGGUGGCGAGCGUUAUCCGGAAUUAUUGGGCGUAAAGAGCGCGCAGGUGGUUGAUUAAGUCUGAUGUGAAAGCCCACGGCUUAACCGUGGAGGGUCAUUGGAAACUGGUCGACUUGAGUGCAGAAGAGGGAAGUGGAAUUCCAUGUGUAGCGGUGAAAUGCGUAGAGAUAUGGAGGAACACCAGUGGCGAAGGCGGCUUCCUGGUCUGUAACUGACACUGAGGCGCGAAAGCGUGGGGAUCAAACAGGAUUAGAUA